RNAcentral lists this ribosomal RNA (520 nucleotides) under uncultured Glomus. RNAcentral's name for it is "SSU rRNA". It matches the Rfam family "Eukaryotic small subunit ribosomal RNA", at positions 569 to 1089 of the family's 1831-position model. The record is from RNAcentral. Lineage: Eukaryota; Fungi; Glomeromycota; Glomeromycetes; Glomerales; Glomeraceae.
AGCAGCCGCGGUAAUUCCAGCUCCAAUAGCGUAUAUUAAAGUUGUUGCAGUUAAAAAGCUCGUAGUUGAAUUUCGGGGUCAGUAGGUUGGUCAUGCCUUUGGUAUGUACUGGUCUCACUGAUUCCUCCCUCUUGAAGAACUGUAAUGUCAUUAAUUUGGUGUUGCGGGGAAUCAGGACUGUUACUUUGAAAAAAAUUAGAGUGUUUAAAGCAGGCUUACGCUUGAAUACAUUAGCAUGGAAUAAUGAAAUAGGACGUUUGAUCCUAUUUUGUUGGUUUCUAGGAUUGACGUAAUGAUUAAUAGGGAUAGUUGGGGGCAUUAGUAUUCAAUUGUCAGAGGUGAAAUUCUUGGAUUUAUUGAAGACUAACUACUGCGAAAGCAUUUGCCAAGGAUGUUUUCAUUAAUCAAGAACGAAAGUUAGGGGAUCGAAGACGAUCAGAUACCGUCGUAGUCUUAACCAUAAACUAUGCCGACUAGGGAUCGGAUGAUGUUAAUUUUUUAAUGACUCAUUCGGCGCCUU